CCAUCUGGAAGAAUCUGGAGACAGGUGCUGCAUGGCUGUCGUCAGCUCGUGUCGUGACGAUGUUGGGUUAAGUCCCGCAACGAGCGCAACCCUUGCCUUUAGUUGCCAGCAGUUCGGCUGGGCACUCUAAAGGGACUGCCGGUGUUAAACCGGAGGAAGGUGGGGAUGACGUCAAGUCCUCAUGGCCUUUAUGACCAGGGCUACACACGUACUACAAUGGCCGAUACAAAGGGCAGCGACACUGCGAGGUGAAGCCAAUCCCGUAAAAUCGGUCUCAGUCCGGAUUGGAGUCUGCAACUCGACUCCAUGAAGUUGGAAUCGCUAGUAAUCGUGGAUCAGCAUGCCACGGUGAAUACGUUCCCGGGCCUU
RNAcentral lists this ribosomal RNA (369 nucleotides) under uncultured Desulfobulbus sp. Its description in RNAcentral is "bacterial SSU rRNA". It matches the Rfam family "Bacterial small subunit ribosomal RNA", at positions 1013 to 1382 of the family's 1533-position model. Lineage: Bacteria; Pseudomonadati; Thermodesulfobacteriota; Desulfobulbia; Desulfobulbales; Desulfobulbaceae. The record is from RNAcentral.